UUCCAAAUUACUCGUCGUGGU
RNAcentral lists this microRNA (21 nucleotides) under Triticum aestivum (bread wheat). RNAcentral describes it as "tae-miR5175-5p". Lineage: Eukaryota; Viridiplantae; Streptophyta; Magnoliopsida; Poales; Poaceae. The record is from miRBase by way of RNAcentral.